Long non-coding RNA from Drosophila innubila, 471 nucleotides. RefSeq lists it as uncharacterized. The record is from RefSeq and is a predicted model, not a curated record. The transcript has 2 exons. Lineage: Eukaryota; Metazoa; Arthropoda; Insecta; Diptera; Drosophilidae.
AACAAGUCUAGUACAUUGACUAAAUGUAAACUCGAGUUUCGAGGGGUUGUUGACGUAGGUAAUUUGGACAAGAAAACACAGCAAAACAGAAGAGCAAAAAAAGCAGCACGGCAACAACCGUCAGCAGUGUCGGUAUUUCAUUUGAAUUACAAAUCACAUUUAGCGCUGACAGGUAAGGAGAUGGAAUACCUGCAGUGCGGGACCGGACAAGGUGUAACUUCAUGCAGGCAGGCGGUCCACAACCUGGUCAACAGAUUCACAGCUAUGCAAACAAAGCUGCUCCUGCAAGUGACUGCCAAUUUUUGUUAUGGCUGUGUAUUCGACUUGGAUAAAUAAAUAAAUACAUAUGGAUGGUUCGAAAUGGUGUGAGUUGCGAACUGAUGUUACAAUAAUGAGCCCAGCCCCAAAUGCGAGUUGAGACCAGCAAAAACAGUUGACGUCAAUAAAAAACUCCGGAAAAAGUAAACAAAA